RNAcentral lists this ribosomal RNA (343 nucleotides) under uncultured bacterium. Its description in RNAcentral is "bacterial SSU rRNA". It matches the Rfam family "Bacterial small subunit ribosomal RNA", at positions 375 to 710 of the family's 1533-position model. The record is from RNAcentral.
GGGCAACCCUGACCGAGCAACGCCGCGUGAGUGAAGAAGGUUUUCGGAUCGUAAAGCUCUGUUGUAAGUCAAGAACGAGUGUGAGAGUGGAAAGUUCACACUGUGACGGUAGCUUACCAGAAAGGGACGGCUAACUACGUGCCAGCAGCCGCGGUAAUACGUAGGUCCCGAGCGUUGUCCGGAUUUAUUGGGCGUAAAGCGAGCGCAGGCGGUUUGAUAAGUCUGAAGUUAAAGGCUGUGGCUCAACCAUAGUUCGCUUUGGAAACUGUCAAACUUGAGUGCAGAAGGGGAGAGUGGAAUUCCAUGUGUAGCGGUGAAAUGCGUAGAUAUAUGGAGGAACACC